Molecule: ribosomal RNA, 497 nt
Filed under: uncultured bacterium
Lineage: Bacteria
Description: partial 16S ribosomal RNA
Rfam family: Bacterial small subunit ribosomal RNA
Source: RNAcentral
GAUGAACGCUGGCGGCGUGCCUAAUACAUGCAAGUCGAGCGAACAGACGAGGAGCUUGCUCCUCUGACGUUAGCGGCGGACGGGUGAGUAACACGUGGAUAACCUACCUAUAAGACUGGGAUAACUUCGGGAAACCGGAGCUAAUACCGGAUAAUAUAUUGAACCGCAUGGUUCAAUAGUGAAAGACGGUUUUGCUGUCACUUAUAGAUGGAUCCGCGCCGCAUUAGCUAGUUGGUAAGGUAACGGCUUACCAAGGCAACGAUGCGUAGCCGACCUGAGAGGGUGAUCGGCCACACGAGAACUGAGACACGGUCCAGACUCCUACGGGAGGCAGCAGUAGGGAAUCUUCCGCAAUGGGCGAAAGCUUGACGGAGCAACGCCGCGUGAGUGAUGAAGGUCUUCGGAUCGUAAAACUCUGUUAUUAGGGAAGAACAAAUGUGUAAGUAACUAUGCACGUCUUGACGGUACCUAAUCAGAAAGCCACGGCUAACUACGUG